This 114-nucleotide ribosomal RNA is filed under the name Fusobacterium necrophorum subsp. funduliforme B35. RNAcentral's name for it is "partial 16S ribosomal RNA". It matches the Rfam family "Bacterial small subunit ribosomal RNA", at positions 231 to 344 of the family's 1533-position model. The record is from RNAcentral. Lineage: Bacteria; Fusobacteriati; Fusobacteriota; Fusobacteriia; Fusobacteriales; Fusobacteriaceae.
UUGCGUCCCAUUAGCUAGUUGGUGAGGUAACGGCCCACCAAGGCAAUGAUGGGUAGCCGGCCUGAGAGGGUGAACGGCCACAAGGGGACUGAGACACGGCCCUUACUCCUACGG